GGUGUGCCUGGAGAUCCUGGGCCCAGAGGAGCCCUUGGGCCUCCAGGACAAAAAGGUGAUAAGGGAGAUGGAGAAGAAGGUUUUCCUGGGCUUCCUGGACGUCCUGGAGACCCUGGAGAUCGGGGCCCCAGAGGACCUCCAGGUGAACAAGGGAUCAAGGGAGACCGUGGGCAAUCUGGUGCACUUGGACCACCAGGAGAGAAGGGAGAGCGUGGAUUGCCUGGCCCUGAAGGAGAGAAGG
Candoia aspera is the source of this 241-nucleotide long non-coding RNA. RefSeq lists it as uncharacterized. The transcript is spliced from 5 exons. NCBI's taxonomy places the organism in Eukaryota, Metazoa, Chordata, Lepidosauria, Squamata, Candoiidae. The record is from RefSeq and is a predicted model, not a curated record.